GGGUUGUGAGGUUAAGCGACUAAGCGUACACGGUGGAUGCCCUGGCAGUCAGAGGCGAUGAAGGACGUGCUAAUCUGCGAAAAGCGUCGGUAAGGUGAUAUGAACCGUUAUANCCGGCGAUGUCCGAAUGGGGAAACCCAGUGNNAUUCGUNNCACUAUCGUUAACUGAAUACAUAGGUUAACGAGGCGAACCGGGGGAACUGAAACAUCUAAGUACCCCGAGGAAAAGAAAUCAACCGAGAUUCCCCCAGUAGCGGCGAGCGAACGGGGAGCAGCCCAGAGUCUGAAUCAGCUUGUGUNUUAGUGGAACGGUCUGGAAAGUCCGACGGUACAGGGUGAUAGUCCCGUACACCAAAAUGCACAGGCUGUGAACUCGAAGAGUAGGGCGGGACACGUGGUAUCCUGUCUGAAUAUGGGGGGACCAUCCUCCAAGGCUAAAUACUCCUGACUGACCGAUAGUAAACCAGUACCGUGAGGGAAAGGCGAAAAGAACCCCGGCGAGGGGAGUGAAAAAGAACCUGAAACCGUGUACGUACAAGCAGUGGGAGCACCUUCGGGUGUGACUGCGUACCUUUUGUAUAAUGGGUCAGCGACUUAUAUUCUGUAGCAAGGUUAACCGUAUAGGGGAGCCGCAGGGAAACCGAGUCUUAACUGGGCGUUAAGUUGCAGGGUAUA
RNAcentral lists this ribosomal RNA (675 nucleotides) under Klebsiella pneumoniae. RNAcentral's name for it is "partial 23S ribosomal RNA". It matches the Rfam family "Bacterial large subunit ribosomal RNA", at positions 1 to 711 of the family's 2925-position model. The record is from RNAcentral. Lineage: Bacteria; Pseudomonadati; Pseudomonadota; Gammaproteobacteria; Enterobacterales; Enterobacteriaceae.